GUCUCGGGCACGGCGCGGUGGAGCGGCGGUGGCGCCGGCUGAGGCCCCAGCCAGGGCCGGGGUGCGGGCAAGCAGCGCCACGACCGGGCUGCCGUGCAGAGGGGAAAACCAGGGCCGGAACCGUACUGCCUGGGGCAGUUCUAAGGGAAACCAGAAAAUUCCCAGUGGAAGUUUCUAUCAAGCUGCAACACAAAGGUUCUGCUUGGGCAUCGAGGUGAACUGAAACUGGUGAAAAUAAACAAAUGUGAUGCGUUUUUGUGGAAGCAAAGAGUCAGAUCAAGGGCUCUUCCCAUAUGAAGCGAGUUUAAAAGACUACGCGUGAGUGAGUUCAAGCCCAAACAUGAUAAAAUUGACCACAAUUCUCUUGUGAAUCCUCAACAGAUCCUGGGACAUGAAUGUCUGUUCUCUGCAAUUGUUAAUCCAGCCAGUAAGGGAAAUUGCUAUUCUGAUCUGUUCCCAGAUGUGGUCAUGUGUUUCAGAUCGUGUGUUUCCGGCACGUGAGAACAUGCACAGAUUUUCCAGGGCUUUAAAUCGGAGCCCAUGGAACAGGCUGAGCUGCAAGCAAAGAGAAAACGCUGGUUACAUAUGUUCAGCUGGGGAGGAUGCUAUUAAACAACAAGUGAAAGGUGGAGAAGUCUUUCAGACAAUGUUCCCUGAAGAGUUGUGGUCAUUUUUCCUGCUGAGGUGAAGAGACACUUCUGCACAGCCUAUCCCAGCUCCUAUUUGGUGCUCAGUACCCUUCUUUUUACCAAUGCAUCAUCUUCAAUGCAGGAGAAAAAAAGAAAAGUUGAAGAAAUGAAUGGGCAAAGCAUUUAAUUAAAGAGAUUACAUCUGUAUCUGGACAUAUCUCAUGGAAAUCUGGAUUAACCUUCAGCAAAUGAGAGUGGAAACUUUAAUUUUGUUCCAAGACUAAUGAAAAUGUUCUGGAUAGAAAUGUGUAU
Molecule: non-coding RNA, 941 nt
Organism: Cyanistes caeruleus (blue tit)
Lineage: Eukaryota; Metazoa; Chordata; Aves; Passeriformes; Paridae
Source: RefSeq, a predicted model, not a curated record